GUCUUUUUAGUUAUUUAAUAUAAAGUCUGACCUGCCCACUGAAUUGUAUGUUUAAAGGGCCGCAGUAUUUUGACUGUGCAAAGGUAGCAUAAUCAUUAGUCUUUUAAUUGAAGGCUGGUAUGAAUGGUUGGAUGAAAUACAAUCUGUGUCAUAAUAAUUAUUAUUUGAAUUUAACUUUUUAGUCAAAAGGCUAAAAUUAAAUUAAAAGACGAGAAGACCCUAUAGAGCUUUAUAUAAUAAUUAUUUAAAUUAUUAAGAUUUUUAAAAUUUAAUUAUUUUUUUAUAUUUUGUUGGGGUGACAAUAAAAUUUAUUAAACUUUUAUUUAUUUUUUACAUUUAUUUAUGAGUGUAUGAUCCAGUUUUAUUGAUUAUAAAUUUAAGUUACCUUAGGGAUAACAGCGUAAUUUUUUUUGAGAGUUCUUAUCGACAAAAAAGAUUGCGACCUCGAUGUUGGAUUAAGAGUAAUUUUGGGUGUAGAAGUUCAAAAUUUAAGUCUGUUCGACUUUUGAAUUCUUACAU
This 519-nucleotide ribosomal RNA is filed under the name Simulium pahangense. Its description in RNAcentral is "partial 16S ribosomal RNA". The stretch from base 392 to 519 matches the Rfam family "Bacterial large subunit ribosomal RNA", at positions 2473 to 2601 of the family's 2925-position model. The record is from RNAcentral. Lineage: Eukaryota; Metazoa; Arthropoda; Insecta; Diptera; Simuliidae.